Molecule: small RNA, 406 nt
Filed under: Arabidopsis thaliana (thale cress)
Lineage: Eukaryota; Viridiplantae; Streptophyta; Magnoliopsida; Brassicales; Brassicaceae
Description: ATSL226770
Source: RNAcentral
AAUCUUAGAUUGCAUAUACAAAAAAAGUUACAAGUUGAACACAAACUGCAUAAAUUAGGAACAAAGCUCGAGAGUGAUUCGAAAAAUCAAACCCAAAAGUAAUACGGAUAAUCAAGCCGCUACUCAUUCGGAACCACGAAAUUACAAACAAAACUUUGAACAUAACUUAAAAUAACCACCGAAGUUUAAGAAAAAAUGCUACCACCAAACAAAAUAAUGUGAAAACCACACUCGCAGUCAACAGAAAGCGCGGAAAGAACAGUAGAUGCAGAACUACAAAAGCUCACAAGCAGUCUUCGAGGCAAAUGUAAAUCGCGAAAAAGGACCCCAAAUACGACGAAUAACAAGAAGAAAAAAUCACAUAUAAGAAUCAAAAAUUGUAGCCAUGUAAUCUUCAUCCUAAAGA